RNAcentral lists this ribosomal RNA (433 nucleotides) under uncultured bacterium. RNAcentral's name for it is "partial 16S ribosomal RNA". It matches the Rfam family "Bacterial small subunit ribosomal RNA", at positions 29 to 507 of the family's 1533-position model. The record is from RNAcentral.
AACGAACGCUGGCGGCAUGCCUAACACAUGCAAGUCGAACGAGACCUUCGGGUCUAGUGGCGCACGGGGGCGUAACGCGGGGGAACCUGCCCGUAGGUUCGGAAUAACUCCCCGAAAGGGGUGCUAAUACCGGAUAAUGUCUUCGGACCAAAGAUUUAUCGCCUUUGGAUGGGCCGGCGUUGGAGUAGCUAGUUGGUAGGGUAAAAGCCUACCAAGGCGACGAUCCAUAGCUGGUCUGAGAGGAUGAUCAGCCACACUGGGACUGAGACACGGCCCAGACUCCUACGGGAGGGAGCAGUGGGGAAUAUUGGAAAAUGGGCGAAAGCCUGAUCCAGCAAUGCCGCGUGAGUGAUGAAGGCCUUAGGGUUGUAAAGCUCUUUUACCCGGGAUGAUAAUGACAGUACCGGGAGAAUAAGCUCCGGCUAACUCCGUG